CCUGAAUACAUAGGGUAAGGAGGCGAACCGGGGGAACUGAAACAUCUAAGUACCCCGAGGAAAAGAAAUCAACCGAGAUUCCGAAAGUAGCGGCGAGCGAAAUUGGACUAGCCCUUAAGCUUUACACGCGUUAGACGAACGGUCUGGAAAGUCCGACGAUACAGGGUGAUAGUCCCGUAGUUGACGACGUGUGUUCAGUGAAAUCGAGUAGGGCGGGACACGUGAUAUCCUGUCUGAAUAUGGGGGGACCAUCCUCCAAGGCUAAAUACUACUGACUGACCGAUAGUGAACCAGUACCGUGAGGGAAAGGCGAAAAGAACCCCUGUGAGGGGAGUGAAAUAGAACCUGAAACCGUGUACGUACAAGCAGUAGGAGCACCUUCGUGGUGUGACUGCGUACCUUUUGUAUAAUGGGUCAGCGACUUAUAUUCAGUGGCAAGGUUAACCAUCUAGGGGAGCCGUAGGGAAACCGAGUCUUAACUGGGCGUUCAGUCUCUGGAUAUAGACCCGAAAC
RNAcentral lists this ribosomal RNA (513 nucleotides) under Vibrio parahaemolyticus. RNAcentral describes it as "partial 23S ribosomal RNA". It matches the Rfam family "Bacterial large subunit ribosomal RNA", at positions 157 to 721 of the family's 2925-position model. Lineage: Bacteria; Pseudomonadati; Pseudomonadota; Gammaproteobacteria; Vibrionales; Vibrionaceae. The record is from RNAcentral.